RNAcentral lists this long non-coding RNA (2186 nucleotides) under Homo sapiens (human). RNAcentral describes it as "HSALNT0240396". Lineage: Eukaryota; Metazoa; Chordata; Mammalia; Primates; Hominidae. The record is from RNAcentral.
UUGCUCAUGGGAUAGAAGAACAGUGUCUUGGCUGGGGGUGGUGGCUCACGCCUGUAAUCCCAGCACUUUGGGAGGCCGAGGUAGGCGGAUCACCUGAGGUCAGGAGUUCGAGACCAGCCUGGCCAACAUGGUAAAACCCCAUCUCUUCCAAAAAUACAAAAAUUAGCUGGAUGUAGUGGCGUGCGCCUGCAAUCCCAGCUACUCAGGAGGCUGAGGCAGGAGGACUGCUUGAACCUGGGAAGCGGAGGUUGCAGUGACCUGGUAUCGUGUCACUGCACUCCAGCCUGUGCAACAGAGAGAGACUCCGUCUCAAAAAAAAAAAAAAAAAAAAAAAAAAGACCGGGCUCAGUGGCUCACGCCUGUAAUCCCAGCACUUUUGGGGGCUGAGGCAGGCGGAUCACCUCAGGUCAGGAGUACAAGACCAGCCUGACUAACAUGGUGAAACCCCAUCUCUACUAAUAAUACAAAAAUUAGCCGGGUGUGGUGGCUCACGAGCCACCUUACCUCCUUCUUUCAACCACUACUUAACUGGGAUUACUUCCCUGUAAUCCCAGAACUUUGGGAGGCCGAGGCGGACAGAUCACAAAGUCAGGAGUUCGAGAUCAGCCUAGCCAAUAUGGUGAAACUCCGUCUCUACUAAAAAUAUAAAAAAUUAGCUGGGUGUGGUGACAGACACCUGUAGUCCCAGCUACUUGAGAGGCUGAGGCUGGAUAAUUGCUUGAACCCAGGAGGCGGAGUUUGCAGUGAGCUGAGAUCGUGCCACUGCACUCCAGCCUGGGCGACAGAGCGAGACUCCAUCUCAAAAUAAAUAAAUAAAUAAAAUAAAUAAAUAAAAAAUUAUCCGGGCGUAGUGGCGGGCACCUGUAAACCCAGCUACUCGUGAGGCUGAGGCAGGAGAAUUGCUUGAACCUGGGAGGCGGAGGUUGCGGUGAGCCAAGAUUGCACCACUGCACUCCAGCCUGGGCAACAAGAGCGAAAAACUGUUUCAAACAAAAAAAGAAGAAAAGUGUCUUGCCUUGUCUGACUGCUUCAAACCCCUGUUCCUCUUCCCCUAUCUGACACACUUCCUCCAUCUGGCUGGAUUAGUCAUGGGACACAUCAGAACAUUUUCAGGAUCUUCCUGGUGCCUACAAUUCAGUCUCCUGGAGCUGCCACUUGCCUCUUCCAUGGUUUGGGUUCACCUGCAUUUCCUGCUCGUUCUACUCGCACCUCUUCCGCCCCUGCUAUGCUGGCUGUUCCUGGCCCUUGGUGGUUUUGAGAUUGCUCACCUGUGUGCCUUCAUAAUACCCUUCUCCCAGCCCUGCAUGCCCAAUUUCUGCUCAUCUUUCAAGGCCCAAAACAGAGGCUGCCAUGUCUGUGAGAUCUUCCCUUAUUUCCCCAGCCAGAAGUCCCUUUGACCUGCCACAAGACUCAGUCAAACCAUCCCUACAGCACUUAGCACUUCUUGGCUUUGAUUAUAAUUACUGUUGCACAGGUUUUUAAAAUUUUCACCUUCCUAGACUGCAAGGUUCUUGGACAAAGAUGUUCUAGGCGCACCCCAGCCCGUAGUAGAGUGCUUUACUAUAUACAUGCUUGCUGGAUGACUACCCCAGCCUUUCCUUCUGGCCUUCACAGUCCUUACCUCCUUCUUUCAACCACUACUUAACUACUUAAAAGUCAGUUCCCGUGUCAAGCCAAACAUCCGGUGGUGCCCAGCAUCAAUGUGGCACCUGCCACACCCUUUGUGCUGUGGGGCAGCAUUCCCGAGGGCGUGCUUAGUGUGUAUUGGGGUCAGGCAGGAGGCUUCAUUUAUGGGAGCAGAACACAGUGCUCAGGUCUCAGCUGGGGGCAGUUAAGACACAUCCCUCCUUUUUCUAGUGUAUUGCAUAGUCUUAGAGUUAGAAGGAGCCUUAGAGAUGAUCAUUCAAUCCUGUCAUUUUGCAGAAAAGAAAACUGAGGUCCCAAGAGAAGUGACUUUUCCAAGAUCACACAGCAAGCUAGUGUGGACAUCAUCUUCCCUGUGCAUGCGUGACAGUGGGGAGGUGGUCCUGGAGACGGUGGCAGCAGCGGGAGGUGUGACUAGGAAAUGGCCUGGAUGCAGCCAUGGGCCAGAAGGGUUGCCUCCAAGAGCUCCCCUGUCAUGACCACAUUGGCAAAGGGCCUUGGGAGCCACACUGAGUGUCUGGACCUCCAGAGUGCUGUUCUGC